Molecule: long non-coding RNA, 611 nt
Filed under: Olea europaea (common olive)
Lineage: Eukaryota; Viridiplantae; Streptophyta; Magnoliopsida; Lamiales; Oleaceae
Description: long non-coding RNA (OEUR_LNC005538)
Source: RNAcentral
UGAUGUUCAAGCAUUUUCCUCCCAUGAGGAGAAUAUAUUUUAUAGAUAAUUUCGCAAAAUUUAUACAAAUAGAGUACAUUUUCAGAAGAAACUAGUGUAACCAAACUCACAAAGUUACAGUAUAUACCACGCACAUAUAUAUUCUCCGGGCUGUCUCAAUUUUCAGAAUGGUACAAUGGGAGAGCACCUGCUGCAGGGUGAAUUCUGUAAAAACCCUGGAAGAAGCCGCAGACACGGGAACCGGAACUGGAACCAGAGCCAGAACUGAAAGAGGGUGAAGAAAUCUCAUAAACUUCCUUCUUAGCCUCUUCGUUUCCCAAGCUUUUCAGCAUUUUCUUCUCCUUGUUCAACUUUUUCCGUAUGUACACUUCAGCAAUACCAAUACUAGCACUUGACAUGAUUGGAAUUUGGAACUAAGUACAAAUGAUGAGCUUUAGAUGAAUAAUUUAGUGGGAUUUGUCUCUUGUAUAAAUAGAUAUAAGAGCGGGCAGUGAGGGCAAGGGGCCAGGUUAAUUUAACAGUAUUUAAAAGGAAGUGGGGGUGAUAUUGAGAUGUAACGUUGGACCAUAAAUGAAAUAUGUGUAAAUGAUUUAGGGCAUUGGGGACUAAAG